AACGAACGCUGGCGGCGCGCCUAACACAUGCAAGUCGAACGAGAAUCCGGGGCAACCCGGUAGUAAAGUGGCAAACGGGUGAGGAAUACAUGGGUAACCUACCCUUGAGAAGGGAAUAACCCGCCGAAAGGUGAGCUAAUACCCUAUACGCUAUCUUUUUUCGUAAAGGAAUAGGAAAGACCGGGUCGGAGGACCUGGUACUCAAGGAGGGGCGUCAUGUCCUAUCAGCUUGUUGGUGGGGGUAACGGGCCUACCAAGGCUACGACGGGUAGGCUGGUCUGAGAGGAUGAUCAGCCACACUGGCACUGAGAUACGGGCCGAGACUCCUACGGGAGGGCAGCAGUGAGGAAUAUUGCGCAAUGGGCGAAAG
This 370-nucleotide ribosomal RNA is filed under the name uncultured bacterium. Its description in RNAcentral is "bacterial SSU rRNA". It matches the Rfam family "Bacterial small subunit ribosomal RNA", at positions 29 to 381 of the family's 1533-position model. The record is from RNAcentral.